This 468-nucleotide ribosomal RNA is filed under the name uncultured bacterium. RNAcentral's name for it is "partial 16S ribosomal RNA". It matches the Rfam family "Bacterial small subunit ribosomal RNA", at positions 28 to 507 of the family's 1533-position model. The record is from RNAcentral.
GACGAACGCUGGCGGCGUGCUUAACACAUGCAAGUCGAACGGACAGGCCCUGCUUUUGUUGGGUGCUCGAUUGGCGAACGGGUGAGUAACACGUGAGUAACCUGCCCUUGACUUUGGGGUAACUUCAGGAAACUGGGGCUCAUACCGGAUAGGAGAUCCUGCUGCAUGGUGGGGGUUGGAAAGUUUCGGCGGUUGGGGAUGGACUCGCGGCUUAUCAGCUUGUUGGUGUGGUAGGGGCGGACCAAGGCUGUGACGGGUAGCCGGCCUGAGAGGGUGACCGGCGACAUUGGGACUGAGAUACGGCCCAGACUCCUACGGGAGGCAGCAGUGGGGAAUAUUGCACAAUGGGCGGAAGCCUGAUGCAGCAACGCCGCGUGCGGGAUGACGGCCUUCGGGUUGUAAACCGCUUUCGCCUGUGACGAAGCGUGAGUGACGGUAAUGGGUAAAGAAGCAACGGCUAACUACGUG